ACCCUUUAAUGUUUGAUGUUCUAACGUGGACCCGUGAUCCGGGUUGCGGACAGUGUCUGGUGGGUAGUUUGACUGGGGCGGUCUCCUCCUAAAGAGUAACGGAGGAGCACGAAGGUUGGCUAAUCCUGGUCGGACAUCAGGAGGUUAGUGCAAUGGCAUAAGCCAGCUUGACUGCGAGCGUGACGGCGCGAGCAGGUGCGAAAGCAGGUCAUAGUGAUCCGGUGGUUCUGAAUGGAAGGGCCAUCGCUCAACGGAUAAAAGGUACUCCGGGGAUAACAGGCUGAUACCGCCCAAGAGUUCAUAUCGACGGCGGUGUUUGGCACCUCGAUGUCGGCUCAUCACAUCCUGGGGCUGAAGUAGGUCCCAAGGGUAUGGCUGUUCGCCAUUUAAAGUGGUACGCGAGCUGGGUUUAGAACGUCGUGAGACAGUUCGGUCCCUAUCUGCCGUGGGCGCUGGAGAACUGAGGGGGGCUGCUCCUAGUACGAGAGGACCGGAGUGGACGCAUCACUGGUGUUCGGGUUGUCAUGCCAAUGGCACUGCCCGGUAGCUAAAUGCGGAAGAGAUAAGUGCUGAAAGCAUCUAAGCACGAAACUUGCCCCGAGAUGAGUUCUCCCUGAGACUUAAAGUCUCCUGAAGGAACGUUGAAGACGACG
Molecule: ribosomal RNA, 653 nt
Filed under: Salmonella enterica
Lineage: Bacteria; Pseudomonadati; Pseudomonadota; Gammaproteobacteria; Enterobacterales; Enterobacteriaceae
Description: partial 23S ribosomal RNA
Rfam family: Bacterial large subunit ribosomal RNA
Source: RNAcentral